CCUACGGGAGGCAGCAGUGAGGAAUAUUGGACAAUGGCCGUAAGGCUGAACCAGCCACGUCGCGUGGAGGAAGAAGGGUCUAUGGUUUGUAAACUUCUUUUAUAGGGGAAUAAAGGUAUCCACGUUUGGUUAUUUGCAUCUACCCUCUAAGUAAGCAUCGGCUCACUCCUUGCCAGCAGCCGCGGUAAAACGGGGGAUGCGAGCGUUAUCCGGAUUUAUUGGGUUUAAAGGGUGCGUAGGUUGUUUUGUAAGUCAGCGGUGAAAGUGUGUGGCUCAACCAUAAAAUUGCCGUUGAAACUGGAAGACUUGAGUGUGUUUGAGGUAGGCGGAAUGCGUGGUGUAGCGGUGAAAUGCAUAGAUAUCACGAAGAACUCCGAUUGCGAAGGCAGCUUACUAAGCCAUAACUGACACUGAAGCACGAAAGCGUGGGGAUCAAACAGGAUUAGAUACCCGUGUAGUC
Molecule: ribosomal RNA, 460 nt
Filed under: uncultured bacterium
Lineage: Bacteria
Description: partial 16S ribosomal RNA
Rfam family: Bacterial small subunit ribosomal RNA
Source: RNAcentral